CAGAGUUCAUGCCCUUCGGGGUAGACCUCCCACCCUUUGUUAUACAUACCUUUGUUGCUUUGGCGGGCCGCCUUCGGGCUAUCGGCUUCGGCUGGUGCGCGCCCGCCAGAGAACCUAAAAUUCUGAUUUACAGUGUCGUCUGAGUACUAUAUAAUAGUUA
This 160-nucleotide unclassified non-coding RNA is filed under the name uncultured Chalara. Its description in RNAcentral is "sequence contains ITS1". The record is from RNAcentral. Lineage: Eukaryota; Fungi; Ascomycota; Leotiomycetes; Helotiales.